Molecule: long non-coding RNA, 1627 nt
Filed under: Malus domestica (apple)
Lineage: Eukaryota; Viridiplantae; Streptophyta; Magnoliopsida; Rosales; Rosaceae
Description: long non-coding RNA (MDOM_LNC019541)
Source: RNAcentral
AAACCCAAAACCAACAUAUAAGCCCAACACGAACCUUUUUCGUAAAAUUAAUUAACUAAUUAAUUAAUCUUGACCAUUCUUCAAUUAAACCAUUUAAUUGCUUAUCCAUUUCAUUUGAUUUCUUCACAUACAUCCUUACUCGGUGUACGAUCCAUUAGGUUCCAAUUAGCGAGGUAGUGGGCGAUUGUUACUCUUAACGAUCGAUUGUGAAAUUGAAACCACAUUUCAAUUCUCCCUUAAUGAUUAGUGUUUGCUAAUCAUUUAGGGCUUCCACAAACCAUGAGUGACACCUAGCAGUAUGUCAUGAUUACCCAAGCUAAGUAGAAUUGGUUGGAGAACCUAUCCAGUUGCAACUACAAUGCAAUAUGGUCCUUCUCUAAUACAAUACUCUUAAUCACAUUGUUUGAGUGAUAGUUUGUUUCAUGUCUACUAUCUAAUGUGAUACAUCUCUAUAUGAUUCCCUUGAAUAUGAUUUGGAACAAACUUCCUAAGUCAUAUUCAAUGCUUUGGCCAAAGACUUUAGAAUCAUAUCUUAGAGUAUUCUCCUUCCACCAUGGAAGGUUAGAGAUCCCUUGUUGUGCAUUCAUAUGCCUACAUGACUAGAUUGCUUGACCCCAACAAUGUCGUGGACACUCCGAUGGAAUGCGUUUGACAUGAUCAAAGAUCAAGGACCUAACCAUUAGACAUCUAUGAUGCCUCAGGUCAAAGGACUACUUUGCAUAUUGCAACUUUAGAGUUCUUACAUGACAUGUAUGUUCGAACUCUCUUUUGAUCGUUGUUCAGUGUACUCGAUUACUCUUUCGAGCACCUACAUGUUUGUCUUAGUGUCCAACACCAAAUGACUUGAGACUUAGUCAUACUCACGCUUGAGUCAACAUAACACAUACUAACCUUAACGGAUUGUCAAUGCCCAAUUGGCAAUCCUAUGGCUAGGAACGUUUUAGGAAUGAACAUAAGAGAAUGGUCUCGAUAAUCUAACUCACUUAGAUCACUUGUCUCUUAGAUCAAAUACAUUCCUUGGAUUCACUUAUUGCUUAAACACAUGAUACAAUAAAUAGUGAUUAACAAUAAGCUUUGCCCUUCAUUAAACAUAUAAAAGUUUAAUACAUUAAGUAUUCCAAAAGCUAUUACAUCAAAUGAGUGGCUUUGUGGGCAUACUUCCAACAUCACCAGUUCCCUCUCUCAUUUGUUUUCAAAUUGGUGACCCAAGAUUCAGAUCUCAUCUAACUUUUGGUGACAACACAACUCCCAAAUCACAAUCCCAAAAGCUUGGUGUGAAAUGGAUAACAAUUCAUCCACCAAAGCUCUCAUGAAAGUUGCAGGUGGGAUUGGAUGAAUUAACUGUUGGAAAUGUGCCCUAAAACCAAUCAUAUGAUGAUACUUUAAGGACAUUGCACAUGUUAAACUAAUCUAGUUUAAUAUCAAGGGCAAAGAUUAUUGUUUGAGCCGUCUCAUAUAAAUGUUAUAUGCUUAAACGAUAAGUCCAAGGAAUAUGUGAUUGGGAGAAUGCAAUCUAAAGAAGUUAGAUUCAUGAGACCAUUCUUUCAUAGACAUAUCCUAAACGUUCCUGAUCAUAGGAUUGCCAAUUGGGCAUUAACAGUCUGUUAAGAUCAGUACGUGCUGUGUC